CGGUAUACGAGGGGUGCAAGCGUUAAUCGGAAUUACUGGGCGUAAAGCGUUCGUAGGCGGUCUAUUAAGCAAGAUGUGAAAGCCCAGGGCUCAACCUUGGAACUGCAUUUUGAACUGGUAGACUAGAGUACUGUAGAGGGUGGUGGAAUUUCCAGUGUAGCGGUGAAAUGCGUAGAGAUUGGAAGGAACAUCAGUGGCGAAGGCGGCCACCUGGACAGAUACUGACGCUGAGGAACGAAAGCGUGGGGAGCGAACAGGAUUAGAUACCCUGGUAGUCCACGCCGUAAACGAUGUCAACUAGCCGUUUGUGGUCUUGAACCGUGAGUGGCGCAGCUAACGCACUAAGUUG
RNAcentral lists this ribosomal RNA (349 nucleotides) under uncultured Gammaproteobacteria bacterium. RNAcentral describes it as "bacterial SSU rRNA". It matches the Rfam family "Bacterial small subunit ribosomal RNA", at positions 518 to 867 of the family's 1533-position model. The record is from RNAcentral. Lineage: Bacteria; Pseudomonadati; Pseudomonadota; Gammaproteobacteria. RNAcentral also lists the same sequence under 1 other name.